RNAcentral lists this ribosomal RNA (497 nucleotides) under uncultured bacterium. RNAcentral's name for it is "partial 16S ribosomal RNA". It matches the Rfam family "Bacterial small subunit ribosomal RNA", at positions 28 to 507 of the family's 1533-position model. The record is from RNAcentral.
GAUGAACGCUGGCGGCGUGCCUAAUACAUGCCAGUCGAGCGAACAGACGAGGAGCUUGCUCCUCUGACGUUAGCGGCGGACGGGUGAGUAACACGUGGAUAACCUACCUAUAAGACUGGGAUAACUUCGGGAAACCGGAGCUAAUACCGGAUAAUAUAUUGAACCGCAUGGUUCAAUAGUGAAAGACGGUUUUGCUGUCACUUAUAGAUGGAUCCGCGCCGCAUUAGCUAGUUGGUAAGGUAACGGCUUACCAAGGCAACGAUGCGUAGCCGACCUGAGAGGGUGAUCGGCAACACUGGAACUGAGACACGGUCCAGACUCCUACGGGAGGCAGCAGUAGGGAAUCUUCCGCAAUGGGCGAAAGCCCGACGGAGCAACGCCGCGUGAGUGAUGAAGGUCUUCGGAUCGUAAAACUCUGUUAUUAGGGAAGAACAAAUGUGUAAGUAACUAUGCACGUCUUGACGGUACCUAAUCAGAAAGCCACGGCUAACUACGUG